Molecule: small RNA, 46 nt
Filed under: Candidatus Sulfopaludibacter sp. SbA6
Lineage: Bacteria; Pseudomonadati; Acidobacteriota; Terriglobia; Bryobacterales; Solibacteraceae
Description: Acido-Lenti-1
Rfam family: Acido-Lenti-1 RNA
Source: RNAcentral
CCCAGCGCUGACGCGCUGGGCUAUUGUCUGGCGCCCCUUCGGGGCU